Molecule: ribosomal RNA, 467 nt
Filed under: uncultured bacterium
Lineage: Bacteria
Description: partial 16S ribosomal RNA
Rfam family: Bacterial small subunit ribosomal RNA
Source: RNAcentral
AGUGAACGCUGGCGGUAGGCCUAACACAUGCAAGUCGAACGGCAGCACAGUAAGAGCUUGCUCUUACGGGUGGCGCGUGGCGGACGGGGGAGGAAUACAUCGGAAUCUACUUUUUCGUGGGUGAUAACGUAGGGAAACUUACGCUAAUACCGCAUACGACCUACGGGUGAAAGCAGGGGAUCUUCGGACCUGGCGGUAUUGUAGGAGCCGAUCGCGGAUUAGCUAGUUGGCAGGGUAAAGGCCCACCAAGGCGACGAUCCGUAGCUGGUCUGAGAGGAUGAGCAGAGACACUGGGGCUGGGACACAGCCCGGAUUCCGACGGGAGGCAGCAGUGGGGAAUAUUGGACAAUGGAGGAAAGCCUGAUCAAGCAAAGCCGCGUGAGUGAUGGAGGCCUUAGGGUUAUAAAGCUCAGUUACCCGGGAUGAUAAGGACGGUACCGGAAGAAUAAGCUCAGGCUAACUCCGUG